This 3138-nucleotide ribosomal RNA is filed under the name Bacteroides thetaiotaomicron. RNAcentral's name for it is "23S ribosomal RNA". It matches the Rfam family "Bacterial large subunit ribosomal RNA". Lineage: Bacteria; Pseudomonadati; Bacteroidota; Bacteroidia; Bacteroidales; Bacteroidaceae. The record is from RNAcentral.
AAAGAAAGUAAGCAAGGGCGCAUGGCGGAUGCCUUGGCUCUCGGAGGCGAUGAAGGACGUGAUAAGCUGCGAUAAGCUCUGGGUAGGUGCAAAUAACCUUUGAUCCAGAGAUUUCCGAAUGGGACAACCCGGCAUUCUGAAGGAAUGUCAUCCAUCUUUGAUGGAAGCUAACGCAGGGAACUGAAACAUCUUAGUACCUGUAGGAAAAGAAAAUAAUAAUGAUUCCCCUAGUAGUGGCGAGCGAACGGGGAAUAGCCCAAACCACCCAUGUUACGGCAUGUGUGGGGUUGUAGGACCACGAUGUCGCAAGACAUUUGACGAAUAGAAUCCUCUGGAAAGUGGAACCAUAGACGGUGAUAGUCCGGUAUAUGAAGUCAAAUUAAGCGUAGUGGUAUCCUGAGUAGCGCGGGACACGAGAAAUCUUGCGUGAAUCUGCCGGGACCAUCCGGUAAGGCUAAAUACUCCCGAGAGACCGAUAGCGAACCAGUACUGUGAAGGAAAGGUGAAAAGCACUUCGAAUAGAAGAGUGAAAUAGUCCCUGAAACCGUGCGCCUACAAGCGGUCGGAGCUGCGUAAGCAGUGACGGCGUGCCUUUUGCAUAAUGAACCUACGAGUUACUUUUUCCGGCAAGGUUAAGCAUCUUGAGAUGUGCAGCCGAAGCGAAAGCGAGUCUGAACAGGGCGUCGAGUCGGAAGGAGUAGACGCGAAACCAAGUGAUCUACCCUUGGUCAGGUUGAAGGUUAGGUAACACUAACUGGAGGACCGAACCGAUAAGCGUUGAAAAGCUUCCGGAUGAACUGAGGGUGGGGGUGAAAGGCUAAUCAAACUUGGAGAUAGCUCGUACUCCCCGAAAUGCAUUUAGGUGCAGCCUUGUGAGUUACUAAUGUGAGGUAGAGCGACUGAUAAGAUGCGAGGGCUUCACCGCCUAUCAAGUCUUGAUAAACUCCGAAUGCGCAUUAGUUCUAUCACAGGAGUGAGGGCAUGGGUGCUAAGGUCCAUGUCCUAAAGGAGAAGAAUCCAGACCAUCAGCUAAGGUCCCCAAAUAAACACUAAGUUGAACUAACGAAGUCAGAUUGCUAAGACAGCUAGGAUGUUGGCUUGGAAGCAGCCAUUCAUUUAAAGAGUGCGUAACAGCUCACUAGUCGAGGAGUUUGGCGUGGAUAAUAAUCGGGCAUUAAGUGUUUUACCGAAGCUAUGGGAUCAGUAAUGAUCGGUAGGGGAGCAUUCCACUCUGCGUCGAAGGUGAAGCGUGAGCUUUGCUGGAGCGUGUGGAAAAGCAAAUGUAGGUAUAAGUAACGAUAAAGGGGGUGAGAAACCCCCUCGCCGAAAGACUAAGGUUUCCUGAUCAACGCUAAUCGGAUCAGGGUUAGUCGGGUCCUAAGGCUCAGCCGAACGGUGAGGCCGAUGGCAGAACAGGUUAAUAUUCCUGUACUACCUUAAGGAGUGACGUGGAGACGGAGCAGUGACAGCGCCGCGGACUGACGGAAUAGUCCGUUGAAGGGUGUAGAUGUUGAUCAUCCCAGGCAAAUCCGGGAUGAGAGUCGAACCUGAUAGUAUGGAGCGUUCUUCGGAACAAUCCAAUAGUGCGUGUAAGCAUACUCCCAAGAAAAUCCGCUAAACUUAAUCCUUAAGGUACCCGUACCGCAAACGGACACACGUAGUCGGGUUGAAUAUACUAAGGCGCUUGAGUGAUUCACGGUUAAGGAACUAGGCAAAUUGACCCUGUAACUUCGGGAUAAAGGGUCCCAACGAGAGUUGGGCGCAGAGAAUAGGUCCAGGCAACUGUUUAACAAAAACACAGGGCUGUGCCAAAUUGAAAGAUUACGUAUACAGCCUGACACCUGCCCGGUGCUGGAAGGUUAAGAGGAGAUGUCAUCGCAAGAGAAGCAUUGAAUUGAAGCCCCAGUAAACGGCGGCCGUAACUAUAACGGUCCUAAGGUAGCGAAAUUCCUUGUCGGGUAAGUUCCGACCUGCACGAAUGGUGUAAUGAUCUGGACACUGUCUCAACCGUGAGCUCAGUGAAAUUGUAGUAUCGGUGAAGAUGCCGAUUACCCGCGAUGNCUGUGCCAAAUUGAAAGAUUACGUAUACAGCCUGACACCUGCCCGGUGCUGGAAGGUUAAGAGGAGAUGUCAUCGCAAGAGAAGCAUUGAAUUGAAGCCCCAGUAAACGGCGGCCGUAACUAUAACGGUCCUAAGGUAGCGAAAUUCCUUGUCGGGUAAGUUCCGACCUGCACGAAUGGUGUAAUGAUCUGGACACUGUCUCAACCGUGAGCUCAGUGAAAUUGUAGUAUCGGUGAAGAUGCCGAUUACCCGCGAUGGGACGAAAAGACCCCGUGAACCUUUACUAUAGCUUAACAUUGAAUUUGGGUAAUUGAUGUGUAGGAUAGGCCGGAGACUUUGAAGCAGGUACGCCAGUAUUUGUGGAGUCGCUGUUGAAAUACGGCCCUUUGAUUAUUUGAGUUCUAACUCGUAGUUGCGAGGACACUGUUUGGUGGGUAGUUUGACUGGGGUGGUCGCCUCCAAAAUAGUAACGGAGGCUUCUAAAGGUGCCCUCAGGACGAUUGGUAACCGUCCGUAGAGUGUAAUGGCAUAAGGGCGCUUGACUGGGAGACUAACAAGUCGAUCAGGUAGGAAACUAGAGCAUAGUGAUCCGGUGUUUCCGUAUGGAAGGGACAUCGCUCAAAGGAUAAAAGGUACUCCGGGGAUAACAGGCUGAUCCCUCCCAAGAGCUCAUAUCGACGGAGGGGUUUGGCACCUCGAUGUCGGCUCGUCACAUCCUGGGGCUGGAGAAGGUCCCAAGGGUUGGGCUGUUCGCCCAUUAAAGUGGCACGCGAGCUGGGUUCAGAACGUCGUGAGACAGUUCGGUCUCUAUCUAUCGUGGGCGUAUGAAAUUUGCGUGGCUCUGACACUAGUACGAGAGGACCGUGUUGGACUGACCGCUGGUUUACCAGUUGUGCCGCCAGGUGCAUUGCUGGGUAUCUAAGUCGGGAUUGGAUAAGUGCUGAAAGCAUCUAAGUACGAAGCCAGCCACAAGAUUAGAUUUCUUAGGGUCGUUAAAGACGAUGACGUUGAUAGGAUGCAGGUGUAAAGGUGGUAACAUCAAAGCCGAGCAUUACUAAUUGCCCGUUCACUUUCUUU